Long non-coding RNA from Carassius auratus (goldfish), 3224 nucleotides. The record is from Ensembl. Lineage: Eukaryota; Metazoa; Chordata; Actinopteri; Cypriniformes; Cyprinidae.
UAAAAGUCUUUUAAUUAGCAAAUCAUCUUUGCAUCACCAAGUAUUUGUGACUCAUGUCCUGGAUUGCUGACGUGUGUGUGUAAAUGUAGCAGCACUUGUGUCAUAAGUACAGGAAUCCAGCGUGCUCCCACAAUCCAAUUUUAUCAUCCAGGUUAAUUUCUGCCUUUAACUAAUCAGAUUACUGCCUGUGAGCUGCUUUAGCACCCCCCCCCCUCUCUUCCAUCCUCCCAUGUGUUUGCUUAGCCCCUCCAGUUUUGCCUCUGUGCGUUUCCAUCACAUCGAGUCUGUCCGUUGCGAUCCCUCUCUCUCUCUCCUGCUCUUUUAUUCUUCUGUCUGAGCCUGUGAUCAGGACUGUCUGUUCUUUUCCUCUAUUUCCUCCGUUUUCUUCUUUCCUUUUCAUUCCAACAUGUUUCAUAACCCGUGGAUUACUAACUAUCUCAACCACAUCACACAGUGUAGUCAAGGCUUUGUUGGUGAAGCUUCUGCUAAGCUCUACAGCCCUGCACUACUGACGAAAAGAGCAAUAAGGUCAGAAUCCAUUCAUCUCUCAAUUUUAAAGACUUUUUAUGACCCAACCUUUCUUCUUUUUGUUUUAAAGCUGAUCCCAUUAGUUAAAUUAAAUACGGAAUCAAUCUCUUUAUCUUCUUUAAUACUUUGCACUAAAUGCAGUUAAUAAGAUGCUUUUUUUUGCACUAUGGACUUUAGGACAUUGAUUGUGUGUUGUCUUGCACAUUUUGAGCUAAAUGAAGGGAUAGAUAUUUUGGAUACUUUGGUCAGUAACUGUGAUUUAAGAAUCAAUAUAUUGUGCAGAGUCCUGGCCAACGAAAAAGACAUUGCUGUAGGAGAAGGGGAGGCAUAGUCUGCUUUUAUCAUCACAGACCCAGAGUGUGUAUGUGUGGGUGUAUGCAUGUUAUCUUUUGUUGUUUCCAUUGGUUAAACUGUUGAAAGAGAAGAAUUUGCUCUUGACAUCUUUGUGUUCAAAAUAAAUCAAAACUUCUGUCAUCCUGGUGUCCUCAAUAUAACACAAUAUAGAAAAAAGACAUGUUUUAGUCACUUACACAAAUUCAACCAGUAUUUAACAAAAAUCUGAAGUCAGAAAUCUAGUCAGAAUUUGUAUGUUUAUUUACAGUAUUAGUAAAAUAUAAUUUUGUUCAAUUUUAAUUUAAAAUUAAAUUAAGCUAAUUUCUUGAUUCUGAUUGGUUGCUACAUGUUACAAGGGCUUUAUAGAAUGGUGAUGAUGUAGUGUGAGAUUUGUUGACCACAUUACAGUAGCAUUUAAUUCCACCACAUUCUUUCUGGACACAUUUAAGCUGGUUAGUCACUGCUUGUUUUUAAAUUAAUCAGUGUUGUAAUAGCCAUUACACUUUGGUAUGCAUUAAUGUUCAAUACUGCAGUUGUACAGAGGCAGUUAUCCAUCCAUGCAUUGUUUCCAUUUUGGGUGUGUCUGAAAAGUUUCUGCGAAUGCAGUCUAAAUUAGUUUAAGCUCUUAUUAGAGUUCUGCUGCCCUGCUUUUGAAAUUAUUUUGCAUAGCAGCAUGUGUAGCAACGGGUUUGCUGUAAACAGGAGUAAUUGGAGUGUGCUGUUUGGGCUGGCAGGACUGGUACCAGGGUGAAGGGAACUCUAGAUGUAUAAAUACCUUAGCAGCUAAUCUAUUCCUCUGGUCAGAUUCAAGUAAACGUUCAAGAUCCUGAAAGCUAAUUCAGCAUUUUCACACGGGAACACAUUGGAAAGGUUGCUCUUGACCUGCCAGUGUAAAAUUUUGGAGGCACUCUGUGCCAAAUUAAAUUCUUAUAAGGUGUGCAGGUGUUGGAAAAGUGAAUAUAUUGAGUCAGGUUGGAGUCAUAGACAAGCAGGCAGUGCAUAUACUGGAUGCGCCAAGUAGGACAUGUUCCUGGGUCCAUGCCUUGUUGAUCCUAGAACAACAUUCAAUCAAUCAAUCACCUUUAUUUAUAUAGUGCUUUAAACAAAAUACAUUGCGCCAAAGCACUGAACAACAUUCAUUUGGAAAACAGUGUCUCAAUAAUGCAAAAUGAUAGUUAAAGGCAGUUCAUCAUUGAAUUCAUUGAUGUCAUCUCUGUUCAGUUGAAAUAGUGUCUGUUUUAAUUUGCAAUCAAGUCAACGAUAUCGCUGUAGAUGAAGUGACCCCAACUAAGCAAGCCAGAGGCGACAGCGGCAAGGAACCGAAACUCCAUCGGUGACAGAAUGGAGAAAAAAACCUUGGGAGAAACCAGGCUCAGUUGGGGGGCCAGUUCUCCUCUGACCAGACGAAACCAGUAGUUCAAUUCCAGGCUGCAGCAAAGUCAGAUUGUGCAGAAGAAUCAUCUGUUUCCUGUGGUCUUGUCCUGGUGCUCCUCUGAGACAAGGUCUUUACAGGGGAUCUGUAUCUGGGGCUCUAGUUGUCCUGGUCUCCGCUGUCUUUCAGGGCAGUAGAGGUCCUUUCUAGGUGCUGAUCCACCAUCUGGUCUGGAUACGUACUGGAUCCGGGUGACUGCAGUGACCCUCUGAUCUGGACACAGACUGGAUCUGGUGGCCAUGGUGACCUCGGAACAAGAGAGAAACAGACAAAUAUUAGCGUAGAUGCCAUUCUUCUAAUGAUGUAGAAAGUACGGUGUUAUGUGAAGUGUUUCCGGUUUACCUAAUUAAUGCAGCCUAAAAAUCCUUUAACGGAUUUGGAUAUUAAAAGCAUAUUAGUAUGUUAUGUGUAUGCCAGGUUAAAGAGAUGGGUCUUUAAUCUAGAUUUAAACUGCAAGAGUGUGUCUGCCUCCCGAACAAUGUUAGGUAGGUUAUUCCAGAGUUUAGGCGCCAAAUAGGAAAAGGAUCUGCCGCCCGCAGUUGAUUUUGAUAUUCUAGGUAUUAUCAAAUUGCCUGAGUUUUGAGAACGUAGCGGACGUAGAGGAGUAUAAUGUAAAAGGAGCUCAUUCAAAUACUGAGGUGCUAAACCAUUCAGGGCUUUAUAAGUAAUAAGCAAUAUUUUAAAAUCUAUACGAUGUUUGAUAGGGAGCCAGUGCAGUGUGGACAGGACCGGGCUAAUAUGGUCAUACUUCCUGGUUCUAGUAAGAACUCUUGCUGCUGCAUUUUGGACUAGCUGUAGUUUGUUUACCAAGCGUGCAGAACAACCACCCAAUAAAGCAUUACAGUAGUCUAACCUUGAAGUCAUAAAUGCAUGGAUUAACAUUUCUGCAUUUGACAUUGAGAGCAUAGGCCGUAAUUUAGAUUUUUGAGAU